RNAcentral lists this ribosomal RNA (438 nucleotides) under uncultured bacterium. RNAcentral describes it as "bacterial SSU rRNA". It matches the Rfam family "Bacterial small subunit ribosomal RNA", at positions 8 to 492 of the family's 1533-position model. The record is from RNAcentral.
AGAGUUUGAUCCUGGCUCAGAGCGAACGCUGGCGGCAGGCCUAAAACAUGCAAGUCGAACGGAUCCUUCGGGAUUAGUGGCGGACGGGUGAGUAACACGUGGGAACGUGCCUUUUGGUUCGGAACAACUCAGGGAAACUUGAGCUAAUACCGAAUGUGCCCUUCGGGGGAAAGAUUUAUCGCCAUUAGAGCGGCCCGCGUCUGAUUAGCUAGUUGGUGAGGUAAAGGCUCACCAAGGCGACGAUCAGUAGCUGGUCUGAGAGGAUGAUCAGCCUCACUGGGACUGAGACACGGCCCAGACUCCUACGGGAGGCAGCAGUUAGGAAUCUUGCGCAAUGGGCGAAAGCCUGACGCAGCCAUGCCACGUGAAUGAUGAAGGUCUUAGGAUUGUAAAAUUCUUUCAGCGGGGACGAUAAUGACGGUACCCGCAGAAGAAGCU